UAUAGUCAAGUAAUUAAGUGCAUGUGGUGGAUGCCUUGGCAGUCAGAGGCGAUGAAAGACGUGAUAGCCUGCGAAAAGCUCCGGGGAGGCGGCAAAUAUCCUUUGAUCCGGAGAUGUCUGAAUGGGGGAACCCACCUACUUUAAGGUAGGUAUUGCAACA
This 160-nucleotide ribosomal RNA is filed under the name Acinetobacter baumannii. RNAcentral's name for it is "partial 23S ribosomal RNA". It matches the Rfam family "Bacterial large subunit ribosomal RNA", at positions 1 to 158 of the family's 2925-position model. Lineage: Bacteria; Pseudomonadati; Pseudomonadota; Gammaproteobacteria; Moraxellales; Moraxellaceae. The record is from RNAcentral.